Molecule: ribosomal RNA, 1159 nt
Filed under: Salmonella enterica subsp. enterica
Lineage: Bacteria; Pseudomonadati; Pseudomonadota; Gammaproteobacteria; Enterobacterales; Enterobacteriaceae
Also listed under: 2 other names
Description: partial 23S ribosomal RNA
Rfam family: Bacterial large subunit ribosomal RNA
Source: RNAcentral
GGGUUGUGAGGUUAAGCGACUAAGCGUACACGGUGGAUGCCCUGGCAGUCAGAGGCGAUGAAGGGCGUGCUAAUCUGCGAUAAGCGCCGGUAAGGUGAUAUGAACCGUUAUAACCGGCGAUACCCGAAUGGGGAAACCCAGUGUGAUUCGUCACACUAUCAUUAACUGAAUCCAUAGGUUAAUGAGGCGAACCGGGGGAACUGAAACAUCUAAGUACCCCGAGGAAAAGAAAUCAACCGAGAUUCCCCCAGUAGCGGCGAGCGAACGGGGAGGAGCCCAGAGCCUGAAUCAGCAUGUGUGUUAGUGGAAGCGUCUGGAAAGGCGCGCGAUACAGGGUGACAGCCCCGUACACAAAAGCGCAUGUGCUGUGAGCUCGAUGAGUAGGGCGGGACACGUGGUAUCCUGUCUGAAUAUGGGGGGACCAUCCUCCAAGGCUAAAUACUCCUGACUGACCGAUAGUGAACCAGUACCGUGAGGGAAAGGCGAAAAGAACCCCGGCGAGGGGAGUGAAAAAGAACCUGAAACCGUGUACGUACAAGCAGUGGGAGCACAGGUUUACCUGUGUGACUGCGUACCUUUUGUAUAAUGGGUCAGCGACUUAUAUUCUGUAGCAAGGUUAACCGUAUAGGGGAGCCGCAGGGAAACCGAGUCUUAAUUGGGCGUUAAGUUGCAGGGUAUAGACCCGAAACCCGGUGAUCUAGCCAUGGGCAGGUUGAAGGUUGGGUAACACUAACUGGAGGACCGAACCGACUAAUGUUGAAAAAUUAGCGGAUGACCUGUGGCUGGGGGUGAAAGGCCAAUCAAACCGGGAGAUAGCUGGUUCUCCCCGAAAGCUAUUUAGGUAGCGCCUCGUGAAUUCAUCUCCGGGGGUAGAGCACUGUUUCGGCUAGGGGGCCAUCCCGGCUUACCAACCCGAUGCAAACUGCGAAUACCGGAGAAUGUUAUCACGGGAGACACACGGCGGGUGCUAACGUCCGUCGUGAAGAGGGAAACAACCCAGACCGCCAGCUAAGGUCCCAAAGUCAUGGUUAAGUGGGAAACGAUGUGGGAAGGCCCAGACAGCCAGGAUGUUGGCUUAGAAGCAGCCAUCAUUUAAAGAAAGCGUAAUAGCUCACUGGUCGAGUCGGCCUGCGCGGAAGAUGUAACGGGGCUAAACCAU